Molecule: transfer RNA, 76 nt
Filed under: Candidatus Omnitrophota bacterium
Lineage: Bacteria; Pseudomonadati; Candidatus Omnitrophota
Description: tRNA-Thr
Rfam family: tRNA
About the family: Transfer RNA (tRNA) molecules are approximately 80 nucleotides in length.
Source: RNAcentral
GCUGGCGUAGCUCAGUUGGUAGAGCGGCUGUUUUGUAAACAGCGGGUCGGGGGUUCAAUUCCCUUCGCCAGCUCCA